GAUUUCCCUAGUAACGGCGAGCGAACCGGAAAGAGCCCAGCUUGAAAAUCGAGGCGCCUCGCGCCCCGAAUUGUAGUCUGGAGAAGCUCCCUCUGCGGCGCACCGGGCCCAAGUCCCCUGGAAAGGGGCGUCAGAGAGGGUGAGAACCCCGUCGAGCCCGGACUGUGCCGCUCCACGAGGAGCUGUCUGCGAGUCGGGCUGUUUGGGAAUGCAGCCCUAAGUGGGAGGUAAAUUCCUUCCAAGGCUAAAUAUGGGCAAGAGACCGAUAGCGAACAAGUACCGCGAGGGAAAGAUGAAAAGGACUUUGAAAAGAGAGUUAAAAAGUGCUUGAAAUUGCUGGGAGGGAAGCGAAUGGAAGCUGCGGGUGCGCCCCGGUUGGAUGUGGAACGGCCUUCAAAAGCUGGUCCGCCGCUCAACGCGGGGCGCUGGUCAGCGUGGGCCUCCGCGCCGGGACAAGAGCGGGACUUCGCGUCCCGUCUAUGCCGGUGCGGGGGCCGAGGAACGAAGCGCGCGCCUCCUUCUGGCGUGGGGCCCGCCCCAACUGCGCGCUCGGGACGCUGGCGUAUUGAGCUCUUCAUCCGACCCGUCUUGAAACACGGACCAAGGAGUCUAACAUGUAUGCGAGCCGGUGGGCGGCAAACCCAUUGAGGCGCAAGUAACCUGACAGGUGGGACCCCGACCGCAAGGGAGGGAGCACCAUCGACCGACCGUGAUCUUCUGUGAAAGGUUUGAGUGCGAGCAUACCCGUUGGGACCCGAAAGAUGGUGAACUAUGCCUGAGCAGGGCGAAGCCAGAGGAAACUCUGGUGGAGGCUCGUAGCGAUACUGACGUGCAAAUCGUUCGUCAGACUUGGGUAUAGGGGCGAAAGACUAAUCGAACCAUCUAGUAGCUGGUUCCCUCCGAAGUUUCCCUCAGGAUAGCUGGAGCUCGUGUAAGAGUUUUAUCAGGUAAAGCGAAUGAUU
Molecule: ribosomal RNA, 962 nt
Filed under: Leptobryum wilsonii
Lineage: Eukaryota; Viridiplantae; Streptophyta; Bryopsida; Splachnales; Meesiaceae
Description: eukaryotic LSU rRNA
Rfam family: Eukaryotic large subunit ribosomal RNA
Source: RNAcentral